This 97-nucleotide microRNA precursor is filed under the name Equus caballus (horse). RNAcentral describes it as "mir-544 microRNA precursor family". It matches the Rfam family "mir-544 microRNA precursor family". The record is from Rfam by way of RNAcentral. Lineage: Eukaryota; Metazoa; Chordata; Mammalia; Perissodactyla; Equidae.
AUCACCUGGGGAUCUUGUUAAAAUACAGAUUCUGAUUCAGUAGGUCUGAGGAAGGCCUGAGAUUCUGGAUUUUUAACAAGUUCCCAGGGAAUGCAGA